This is a non-coding RNA of Zonotrichia albicollis (white-throated sparrow), 3716 nucleotides long. Lineage: Eukaryota; Metazoa; Chordata; Aves; Passeriformes; Passerellidae. The record is from RefSeq and is a predicted model, not a curated record.
AAAUGUGAUACAACUGUACAGAUGUCCUAAAGUAUUUUUAAAGAACAGUACAUCAGUUUUCCUAUUUCAUUACUUAGAAAGCUUUUUCAAAUCACUCAGUAACUAUGAGACUAAACCCUGAUCAGGUCAAUGAUAUAUUUAAUCAAAAUUUCAAACAGCAGCCAAGAUUCCUCAGUAAAUAGCCUUAAUUUAUUCUCAUCGGAGUCGUGACAAAACUCCUGAGCCCAUUUAUUUUCUCUAAAAUUUUCCAAAAUGGUGUCAUAAUAUGACUUACCAUAACAUUAUCAGGAUACAAAACUAUUACAAGCCCACUGUCAGCUUUGUAAGUUUUAAUAAACAUGCAUUUAACAUAUGCCUCUUUAUAUCCAAAUUUAUUUUUUGCAGGAAAAAGGUGCCAACACAUAGCUUUCCAUACAAAACACUAUAUUCUUUUAACCUUUCUGAUGCAGAGAAUUUUCUAGGUGAAGAAAAAUAUUAUUUGAGAAGUGACAUAGAUUUUGUCAUCAUGCAAUGGAUGGCAGCUAUGUUUGUGAGAGUCUUGACAGGUAAACACAUGACAUGUAUACACCACACAAGCAUACUGGAAGAUACAUUUGGUGUCUGGCUUUUCAGGUGAAAUACCAUUUAAAAGAAACAAUGCCAUUUGCCUAUUAGAAUAUGACUCAGAUUGGCUUUAGCACUGUAAGAAAUCAUCUCAUCUGGAAAUAAAAUGAAUUGUGAUCUGGGUGAACAUUGAACAGAUCUGUGGAACUUUAAGCUCCAGCUGUAUCUUUUCAUGUACAAUCUGAUGUCAAACCUGUAACUGAGACUCUGGAAACAGCCUAGGUGCACUCUACUUGCUGGGACUGAUUUUACUAGAAUCAGCUCAGGAAUUAACAUGGUCUGGACAACAGGACAAUCAAUUGUGAUUUAUUGUUUGGGGACUGGAAGCCUGCUUCUGCUCUCACCUUUCCCAGGGCAGGGUGAAGAGGUGAUUUCAUGUGCAGCCAUUUAAAAGGGAAAAGCAUACAGGGUACCUGUAAGCCUGAGGUGGGUUGCUCCAUUGGAAACUAUUUCUGUAGUCCAUCUGACUAAAAAGCUGACCAAGUCAGCAGACUGACACUGCUGGGAAAAUGUCAGUCCUAUUCCAUGUGCUCAGCUGGACCUUGCUGCACAUUGGGAGGGGAAAUAGCUUGUGGCCUUCACUAUCAAAUAUGAAAACCAGAGCAGCCCACCCAGUGAGCAAGGCUGGAACCAUACAUCAGUAUGUUUAGCACCAUUAACACAAGCAGAUUCUUGCCAAAUAUUGCCAUAUAUUGAAUAUGCUAGCUGAAAUACUAUAAAUAUCUGCAUACCAUUUUAAAUUAUGUGUUAUUAAAAUGGUUUAUAUAACAUCUCAUAAACGGCUUUAGAAUCUGAAAAAAAAUCCCACUAAACUGUGUUCAUUUCCAUUUCUACAUGUAAAUUGAAAAUGCUAGCCUUGCUGGAUCUUUCACUAGGGAACACAGCAUGUAAUGCAGUACAUGCCAAUCUCUAACCUUUUUCUAGCUUUUGGAAGUAACAACUGAAGUGCUUAUGUACAAACUCUCACAUCAGUUUGUAGACCCAAGCCCAUGUGAAUUGUCAGAAGAAAGCUCAAAGAAAAGGAGCAAAAUUCUUCUACCAUAAAAAAGACACAGGGAUCUAUGUUCUACUACAGUGAUGCAGACUUUUCCAGCUCCUAUAGAGAACAAAUAUAGCAUAACUCAAGCACAGCAUGUACUGCCAGUAUGCAGCAAAACAAUCUGCUUUCCUUCUGGAAUGGAUUGCUUCUGUGCUUUUUAUAAAAAACUUCUUCCUUAUUUGACUAAUUUAAUUAGUAGAAUCUCUUAAAUGUCUUUCUGUCAGGCAUGUCAUAUCCCUAAAUUCCUAAUGUUUCAUUUAUCUUCACAGAUCACAGAAUGGUGUGGGUUGGAAGGGAAUAUGAAGAUCCUCUAAUUCCAAACCCCCUGCUAUGGGCAGGGACACCUUCCACCAGGCUUCUCAAAGCCCCAUACAGCCUGGCCCUGAACACUUCCAGGGAUGGGAUGAUCCGAGAUGAGGAUGAGAAGAAGCUGUCACUGUAACUGCACCUGUGGCCCUGCACAGAGGCAUUUUCCUCCCAGCAUCAGCGGAUGCAGUUUGAAACUUCCCAGGAUCAUGCGAUUUCUCCUGACUAAUGUGGCUUUCUAAUUGGGAGGAGGGAGACAAAGAUGACAGAUUGCUAAAGGCUUUUAAAAAGAUGCUGCUUGAAAGAAUUAUUGCCCAUUGAUCUCAUAUUCAGCCAUUAAUAAGACUUUCCAAGCAAUGGUGUUUAAAAGCCUUGGUCAUAUUCUCCUGGCUGGUAACCACCUCCUCCUGAGCAGCGGCUGACAGAGAGCCAGGCGCUGCUGACACGGCUGCUAUCAGACAAUGACUUCAAGGCAGCCAGAGAGUCAUUUAGAUUUCUUAUUCUGCUUUCACUGCCACAGCAGCACAGACCUUGGCUUCUCCAGCACUACUGUAUCAUCUGCUUUACAAGCAGGCUCUGAGAACUACUUUAAAGCCAUUAAUCUGUUACUGUUCCCAGAUAUUUUUUGAUGCACAAUAUUUUGGCCAGUGGCAGGACUCGGCAUGGCGGGGUGGCAUGGGGCUGGGUCAGGGGCAGUUUGGGUUGGGUAUCAGGAGAGAAGUUUUCACCUUAGGGGUGGCUGAGUACUGGAGCAGGCUCCUUGGGAAGGGGGCCAUGUCAACAGACCUGUCUGAGUUCAGGAAGCAUUUGGAAAAUACUCUCAGGACUGUGAUGUGGCUAUUGGGGUGUCCUGCAUGGGGCCUGCAGUUGGUCUUGAUGACUCAGUUGGGUCCCUUCCAACUCAGCAUAUUCUGGGAUUCCAUUGUAUGUACCUAUUUUGUAUGGACUCGUGUCCUCAAGAGUUUGGGAAGUUUUACAGCCUGUGUAUAUUUCUGUAUCACUGCAUCUCUGACAUGGGAAUUCUCUUUCCUUUGCAUUUUACAGCAGGUGGCUGCACAUCACUGCCAUCGUGGAAAAGCUUUAGAAAAAAACAUUACAUACUAGACAAAGCACUGAAAUUCACUGUGAGCUCUGCACUGUUUACCCAUCAAAAGUGGACCUGCAAAUGCAGGUGAAAAGCUGAGCAGGUUCUUUCUGACAGAGAUGAAAAAUACUGGAAAAACUGCAAGUAAAAGUGGUAAACGUUACUUUCCCUGAAGGACAAGAUAAGAAGCCAGCCGGCUCUGCACCUGGAGUUUUGGGUGAGAAGUCACUCAUCAGACUAGGCUGAUGAUACAGUAAGGCUGCUUUGCUUUACACCAGUCACUAACUCACAGAUUUACUCCUUCAUUUAUAUUCAAAACUCAAUUAAUGAAACUAAUGCACCCAACUGAUAAACUAGUGAAAUAUUUCUGAUACAUUUUUGAAACCUCUUUAAAACAUUAGCUCCAAAUAAUCAACUUAUCUACCACAGAUCAUGUUAAUUCUUACUCCUAACGACACACAGUAAAACAUCUUUACUGAAAAGAAAGGCAAUCAAGAAACAAAAGGCAGUCACAUUAAGAAGAUGAAAAGAAAACUACACUGAGCAAUUCUUUCUAUUCCAGUGUUUCAAGAAAGUUGAUUCAUGACUUGAAGUUGUAAGAGGAGUACUGCAGUAUUAACCCUCUGUACAUGACUCCAGAGCAACAAAUACAGAGGAGGAUUAAAAAACAGACCUCAAAAUUUA